GAUGAACGCUGGCGGCGUGCCUAAUACAUGCAAGUCGAGCGAACAGACGAGGAGCUUGCUCCUCUGACGUUAGCGGCGGACGGGUGAGUAACACGUGGAUAACCUACCUAUAAGACUGGGAUAACUUCGGGAAACCGGAGCUAAUACCGGAUAAUAUAUUGAACCGCAUGGUUCAAUAGUGAAAUACGGUUUUGCUGUCACUUAUAGAUGGAUCAGGGCCGCAUUAGCUUGUUGGUGAGGUAACGGCUUACCAAGGCAACGAUUCGUAGCCGACCUGAAAGGGAGGAUGGACAGCCGGGAAGUGAGGAAGAGCACAGACACCUGCAGGGAGACGCAGUAGGGAAUCCUACGGGAUGGGGCAGAGGGUAAUGGAGGAAAGUGGGGUGAGUGAUGAAGGUGCUCGGACGGGUAAACUAUGUUGUUAGGGAAGAACAAAUGUGUAAGUAACUAUGAACGUCUUGACAGUACCUAGUGAGAAAGCCACGGCUAACUACGUG
This 497-nucleotide ribosomal RNA is filed under the name uncultured bacterium. Its description in RNAcentral is "partial 16S ribosomal RNA". It matches the Rfam family "Bacterial small subunit ribosomal RNA", at positions 28 to 507 of the family's 1533-position model. The record is from RNAcentral.